RNAcentral lists this ribosomal RNA (497 nucleotides) under uncultured bacterium. RNAcentral's name for it is "partial 16S ribosomal RNA". It matches the Rfam family "Bacterial small subunit ribosomal RNA", at positions 28 to 507 of the family's 1533-position model. The record is from RNAcentral.
GAUGAACGCUGGCGGCGUGCCUAAUACAUGCAAGUCGAGCGAACAGACGAGGAGCUUGCUCCUCUGACGUUAGCGGCGGACGGGUGAGUAACACGUGGAUCACCUACCUAUAAGACUGGGAUCACUUCGGGAAACCGGCGCUAAUACCGGAUAAUAUCUUGAACCGCAUGGUUCAAUAGUGAAAGACGGUUUUGCUGUCACUUAUAGAUGGAUCCGCGCCGCAUUAGCUAGUUGGUAAGGUAACGGCUUACCAAGGCAACGAUGCGUAGCCGACCUGAGAGGGUGAUCGGCCACACUGGAACUGAGACACGGUCCAGACUCCUACGGGAGGCAGCAGUAGGGAAUCUUCCGCAAUGGGCGGAAGCCUGACGGAGCAACGCCGCGUGAGUGAUGAAGGUCUUCGGAUCGUAAAACUCUGUUAUUAGGGAAGAACAAAUGUGUAAGUAACUAUGCACGUCUUGACGGUACCUAAUCAGAAAGCCACGGCUAACUACGUG